AUGGCGACCGCCACCAACCCUCAUCUCGCGCCCCCGCCGCCGGAUCUGGCAAUAGUUCAAGUCAUUAAGGAUUUUUAUCGCAAUUCGAGGACAAUCAAAGAGAACAUUAUAUUGGUAGGCUAUGAUGAGAAGCCUAUGGAUUUCGACAACAGUGAAAUGAAGUUCCUCAAGUGCUCGUACAAAGUUGGCCCCAAUCAAUUCAACAGGUUUAUCAAGAGGGGUGCUGCAAGUUCCAAGGAUUGGGCUUCAGACUACCAUUUUGUCAGAGCUUUGGCGCAUCCUGCUGCUAUCCAAGUUGAAAAUUACGUCAAAUCAGAGUGUGUGAUCAUCUCUGAAGUGGAUGGGUCCUUCAGCAAAUGGUUGAACAAGAGGGAACCCAUAGAACUGUUCGCUGAUGGCACCAUGCUGCCCAUCCUCAGAAAUAUGAUCAUCCAACUUGCAAGUCUGGUGGAAAGUAUUCUUGCUAAGCGCAAGUAUCCCCGAGGUACCGUUGCAAAGGAAGAAUUCUCAAUGAAAGAGCUCUACAUCAAGCUGCUUCCUGAUAAGACACCUAAGCUGCAGGUGUUGAUACUUAAGGUUGAAAACAGGAUUCCAGCUCAGGUGGUGAAGACUUGGACAACUGUAAGGGAGAUUGCUACAGAGUGCUUUGAACGCCAUAAUGUCAAUCCAAACCAGGGAAGUAGAGACUUCAUCUCUUGUAUUGGGAUUCUGACAAAAAAUGUCCAAGCUCUUUUGGAGGGCCACCCGGACCAGUGGGACAAUACGAAGAAAGGUGGGUUUCUCAUGGAAUCCUACGCGUACUCCCAGCAAGUGUCUGGUAGGAUCAACAAGUCUGAAUUGAGGUGGCCUGUGGAAGAUGAUGGAAGAACUCCGUGGUUGCUGUCGCAGUUAAUUCUUCGGGGUCGAGAGAAGAAGGUGAUGUAUGACAAGGACUUUCCGAAUGACUAUGUGAAACUAUGCAGGCACAGCUACAAGCACUUCAAAAAAUUGCCAAACAAUAUUAAGGCUAGUCUUGGAGGGAGUACAGAUGGACUGAUACAUCAGAUUGAAGUUUGGUCGCCUCGUAUCUGGCACAUCUUAUAUGUGGCACUUCACAAGCCCGGAUCAGGAUAG
RNAcentral lists this ribosomal RNA (1113 nucleotides) under Triticum aestivum (bread wheat). Its description in RNAcentral is "partial small subunit ribosomal RNA". Lineage: Eukaryota; Viridiplantae; Streptophyta; Magnoliopsida; Poales; Poaceae. The record is from RNAcentral.